ACGAAAGCGUGGGGAGCAAACAGGAUUAGAUACCCUGGUAGUCCACGCCGUAAACGAUGAGUACUAAGUGUCGGGGCAACUCGGUACUGAAGUUAACACAUUAAGUACUCCGCCUGAGUAGUACGUACGCAAGUAUGAAACUUAAAGGAAUUGACGGGAUCCCGCACAAGCGGUGGAUCAUGUUGUUUAAUUCGAAGAUACACGAAAAACCUUACCAGGUCUUGACAUAUUCUGCGAAGCUAUAGAAAUAUAGUAGAGGUUACCAGAAAUACAGGUGGUGCAUGGUUGUCGUCAGCUCGUGUCGUGAGAUGUUAGGUUAAGUUCUAAAACGAGCGCAACCCUUAUCGUUAGUUACCAGCAUGUUAUGAUGGGGACUUUAGCGAGACUGCCAAUGAAAAAUUGGAGGAAGGUGAGGAUUACGUCAAAUCAUCAUGCCCCUUAUGAUCUGGGCUACAAACGUGAUACAAUGGCUAUUACAAAGGGUAGCUGAAACGCGAGUUUUUAGCCAAUCUCAAAAAAAUAGUCUCAGUUCGGAUUGAAGUCUGCAACUCGACUUC
RNAcentral lists this ribosomal RNA (557 nucleotides) under Phytoplasma sp. RNAcentral describes it as "bacterial SSU rRNA". It matches the Rfam family "Bacterial small subunit ribosomal RNA", at positions 753 to 1319 of the family's 1533-position model. Lineage: Bacteria; Bacillati; Mycoplasmatota; Mollicutes; Acholeplasmatales; Acholeplasmataceae. The record is from RNAcentral.